This 460-nucleotide ribosomal RNA is filed under the name uncultured bacterium. RNAcentral's name for it is "partial 16S ribosomal RNA". It matches the Rfam family "Bacterial small subunit ribosomal RNA", at positions 338 to 795 of the family's 1533-position model. The record is from RNAcentral.
CCUACGGGUGGCAGCAGUGAGGAAUAUUGGUCAAUGGACGAGAGUCUGAACCAGCCAAGUAGCGUGAAGGAUGACUGCCCUAUGGGUUGUAAACUUCUUUUAUAUGGGAAUAAAACGUUCCACGUGUGGGAUUUUGUAUGUACCAUAUGAAUAAGGAUCGGCUAACUCCGUGCCAGCAGCCGCGGUAAUACGGAGGAUCCGAGCGUUAUCCGGAUUUAUUGGGUUUAAAGGGAGCGUAGGUGGAUUGUUAAGUCAGUUGUGAAAGUUUGCGGCUCAACCGUAAAAUUGCAGUUGAAACUGGCAGUCUUGAGUACAGUAGAGGUGGGCGGAAUUCGUGGUGUAGCGGUGAAAUGCUUAGAUAUCACGAAGAACUCAGAUUGCGAAGGCAGUUCACUGGACUGCAACUGACACUGAGGCUCGAAAGUGUGGGUAUCAAACAGGAUUAGAUACCCCUGUAGUC